GAUGAACGCUGGCGGCAUGCCUUACACAUGCAAGUCGAACGGCAGCACGGGAGCUUGCUCCUGGUGGCGAGUGGCGAACGGGUGAGUAAUACAUCGGAACGUACCCUGAAGUGGGGGAUAACGUAGCGAAAGUUACGCUAAUACCGCAUAUUCUGUGAGCAGGAAAGAGGGGGAUCGCAAGACCUCUUGCUUUAGGAGCGGCCGAUGUCGGAUUAGCUAGUUGGUGAGGUAAAAGGCUCACCAAGGCGACGAUCCGUAGCGGGUCUGAGAGGAUGAUCCGCCACACUGGGACUGAGACACGGCCCAGACUCCUACGGGAGGCAGCAGUGGGGAAUUUUGGACAAUGGGCGCAAGCCUGAUCCAGCCAUGCCGCGUGAGUGAAGAAGGCCUCGGUGUAAG
RNAcentral lists this ribosomal RNA (399 nucleotides) under uncultured bacterium. RNAcentral's name for it is "bacterial SSU rRNA". It matches the Rfam family "Bacterial small subunit ribosomal RNA", at positions 28 to 429 of the family's 1533-position model. The record is from RNAcentral.